RNAcentral lists this unclassified non-coding RNA (425 nucleotides) under soil metagenome. RNAcentral describes it as "partial contains 5.8S ribosomal RNA, internal transcribed spacer 2, and large subunit ribosomal RNA". The stretch from base 1 to 120 matches the Rfam family "5.8S ribosomal RNA", at positions 35 to 154 of the family's 154-position model. The record is from RNAcentral.
GAUGAAGAACGCAGCGAAAUGCGAUAAGUAGUGUGAAUUGCAGAAUUCCGUGAAUCAUCUAAUCUUUGAACGCACAUUGCGCCUUCUGGUAUUCCGGAAGGCAUGCCUGUUCGAGAGUCAUUAACAACCGUUUCGAUCCCUUUCUUUCAGAAAUUACAAAGAGGAAAAGGGUUUGGUUAUGGUGGAGGAGGGAAAGGGAGCGUUUAGCCUGUAAAAAAAGAGGCUGUGUUCCGCCUCCCCCCCAAAAUUGUACAGGCGGUCGUGUGCGCCCACGCAUCGAGGUGUUGUAAAAGCUGCCACGGCACUUUUCACCUGUGCAGUGCGAGAUUGGCCAGCCGGUUUAAAAACCCCUCCAAACAAUCAAAGGUUGACCUCGGAUCAGGUAGGGAUACCCGCUGAACUUAAGCAUAUCAAUAAGCGGAGGA